Brassica napus (rape) is the source of this 107-nucleotide non-coding RNA. Lineage: Eukaryota; Viridiplantae; Streptophyta; Magnoliopsida; Brassicales; Brassicaceae. The record is from Rfam.
AAGCCAUGAUGUGGGCAUUGAGACCAAUAGCCCUUGAACCUCUCCUAUGCUUCACUAAAUCCCUCUAGGUUCUUCUGCUGAAAGCUAGAGAUCUCAUUCCUGAUCUU